This 833-nucleotide long non-coding RNA is filed under the name Hordeum vulgare. RNAcentral's name for it is "long non-coding RNA (HVUL_LNC008074)". Lineage: Eukaryota; Viridiplantae; Streptophyta; Magnoliopsida; Poales; Poaceae. The record is from RNAcentral.
UUUUUUUGAUAGCUUACCACGCUUGCAGCUUGGUACAAAUGCAGUGUAGGUUAAGAACAUCCAACCCACCUUCUGCAUUACAAACAGAUGUUUAGACAAGACAACUUCAAAAUGAGAAAAUAGUACUAUGUGUGUGCAGACAUUUCAACACGGAAAAACAAUUCCCGGUCAUAUGAUCGACGCUAACCUAAUAAAAUGAAAUAACAUACACUUCCGUUAAUCAACAAUCACAUGUACACGUAGGAUUCUAAUUUGAGAAAAGGGAAACACCAUUGCAGCUGGCCACAUAUUAGUAGAUGCGGAGUCGUUUCACAUUGUUUUAUAGGCGUUGUAACAAGUUGCUCUUAUUUUUUCCUCGAAUAUGCAGGACUGUGCAUAUCAUAUAUUAAAAAGGAAUGUAAUACACAAUACGAAUUCUUGGUGGCCUUUCCAUUUGAUGUUCUACGUGAAUGUGCUUAACUGAGUCAUUUGAUGCUCAACUAAUUAGUAAUUAUCUUGCGAACCAUAAUCUCGGACAUGCAACCUUUUUUUUGUGAAUCAUCGGAUGCGAAAUCUUGGUCAUGCGAGACUUUAUAUUAAUAGUAAGUUCUACAUUUUCUCAAAAAAGAAGAAGAGCAUGUUCUACAAACUCAGCCGAACCAUUUUUUCCAUAAAGUUGGUGUUUAAAAAAAUUUAGGAUAGAUUAAGGAGGUUCUAGAAUCUCCUUUCGUUUCGGGAGAGACUCGGGUGAUACCAUCCUUCACAUAGUCGUGUGCUCCUAAUAAGUUUGAAAAUAUUUAAAUGCUUAAAGCCAUCUUGAAAAAAAAUUGUGUAUGCUCACAGGUCAUGUGUCU